RNAcentral lists this unclassified non-coding RNA (208 nucleotides) under Hevea brasiliensis (rubber tree). Lineage: Eukaryota; Viridiplantae; Streptophyta; Magnoliopsida; Malpighiales; Euphorbiaceae. The record is from RNAcentral.
CGUAAACCUGAGGGUCCCAAAAGAGAUGAUUCGACAGUGUCCCAAGGUAGAGCAAAGAAACAUCAAUCUCAUUGAUGAGUUGUCUGCCUGGUUUCGACGAAAUCAUGGAUCAUGGAGAAUUUUCGUCUAAUUCCGUAAUUAAUUUUUAUCCAUUUCAUCUACUUGGAAAAAAGAUCAUCGAGUAGAAUUAUACCUAAGAUAUGCCGAC